RNAcentral lists this ribosomal RNA (420 nucleotides) under Babesia canis. Its description in RNAcentral is "SSU rRNA". It matches the Rfam family "Eukaryotic small subunit ribosomal RNA", at positions 548 to 1018 of the family's 1831-position model. The record is from RNAcentral. Lineage: Eukaryota; Apicomplexa; Aconoidasida; Piroplasmida; Babesiidae.
UUGGAGGGCAAGUCUGGUGCCAGCAGCCGCGGUAAUUCCAGCUCCAAUAGCGUAUAUUAAACUUGUUGCAGUUAAAAAGCUCGUAGUUGUAUUUUUGCGUUGACGGUUUGACCAUUUGGUUGGUUAUUUCGUUUUCGCUUUUGGGAAUUUCCCUUUUUACUUUGAGAAAAUUAGAGUGUUUCAAGCAGACUUUUGUCUUGAAUACUUCAGCAUGGAAUAAUAGAGUAGGACUUUGGUUCUAUUUUGUUGGUUAUUGAACCUUAGUAAUGGUUAAUAGGAACGGUUGGGGGCAUUCGUAUUUAACUGUCAGAGGUGAAAUUCUUAGAUUUGUUAAAGACGAACUACUGCGAAAGCAUUUGCCAAGGACGUUUCCAUUAAUCAAGAACGAAAGUUAGGGGAUCGAAGACGAUCAGAUACCGU